GUCACUCCCGCGCCGCACGGCUCGGGCUGCGGCCAGCCGGCACGGACGUUCUUCUCACAGCUGCCUUCAGCCGAGUGGCUGCCACCAAGUUCCUGAGAAAUGACUCACAGGAGACUGCUAACUCGGGGAAGUCUGCUGCCUGCUUUGGAUGUCGCAAGGCUGAUGCGCUAAGAGGCCAGCAGAUCGUACCUGGACUCGAGAGCCCUCCCAAGUGCACAUCUCGUGGGCUCGCGAGCUCGCUCCGCGCGACUGUCAGGGACUGGCUGCCUGCUGGCUCGCUCCGAGGAGAAAUCAGAGCGGCGCGGAGGAUCCUGGCAGAGCAAGCUGGACUGGUGCCAACUUAGCCCUGAGAACCGUGCCACGCCCCCUGGACACCCUCAGUAAGCAUUUGGACGGCCUGACUCCGAGAACACGGAAUCUCCAAGGUCACAGCCUUGGUCUGCGUCAUUCUUGUUUACAGGAUAAAAAUUGUUGGUCUGGAAA
Molecule: long non-coding RNA, 483 nt
Organism: Chinchilla lanigera (long-tailed chinchilla)
Lineage: Eukaryota; Metazoa; Chordata; Mammalia; Rodentia; Chinchillidae
Exons: 2
Source: RefSeq, a predicted model, not a curated record